This 466-nucleotide ribosomal RNA is filed under the name uncultured bacterium. Its description in RNAcentral is "bacterial SSU rRNA". It matches the Rfam family "Bacterial small subunit ribosomal RNA", at positions 28 to 507 of the family's 1533-position model. The record is from RNAcentral.
GACGAACGCUGGCGGCGUGCCUAACACAUGCAAGUCGAACGGACUGCGAGGAGCUUGCUCCUCAAAGUUAGUGGCGGACGGGUGAGUAACGCGUGAGUAACCUGCCUUACAGAGGGGGAUAACGUUUGGAAACGAACGCUAAUACCGCAUAAUGUAUCGGGAUCGCAUGGUUCUGAUACCAAAGAUUUUAUCGCUGUAAGAUGGACUCGCGUCUGAUUAGAUAGUUGGCGGGGUAACGGCCCACCAAGCCGACGAUCAGUAGCCGGUCUGAGAGGAUGAACGGCCACAUUGGGACUGAGAUACGGCCCAGACUCCUACGGGAGGCAGCAGUGGGGAAUAUUGCGCAAUGGGGGAAACCCUGACGCAGCAACGCCGCGUGAAGGAUGAAGGUUUUCGGAUCGUAAACUUAUGUCUUCGGGGACGAGAACGGGCGCUACCCGAGGAGGAAGCCACGGCUAACUACGUG